GACGAACGCUGGCGGCGUGCUUAACACAUGCAAGUCGAACGGUAAGGCCCUUCGGGGUACACGAGUGGCGAACGGGUGAGUAACACGUGGGUGAUCUGCCCUGCACUUCGGGAUAAGCCUGGGAAACUGGGUCUAAUACCGGAUAGGACCACUGCCUGCAUGGGUGGUGGUGGAAAGCUUUUGCGGUGUGGGAUGGGCCCGCGGCCUAUCAGCUUGUUGGUGGGGUGAUGGCCUACCAAGGCGACGACGGGUAGCCGGCCUGAGAGGGUGACCUGCCACACUGGGACGGAGAUACGGCCCAGACUGCUACGGGAGGCAGCAGGGGGGAAUAUUGCACAAGGGGCGCAAGCCUGAUGCAGCGACGCCGCGCGAGGGAUGACGGCCUUCGGGUUGUAAACCUCUUUCAGCACCGACGAAGCGCAAGUGACGGUAGGUGCAGAGGAAGGACCGGCCAACUACGUGCCAGCCGCCGCCGUAA
RNAcentral lists this ribosomal RNA (478 nucleotides) under uncultured bacterium. Its description in RNAcentral is "partial 16S ribosomal RNA". It matches the Rfam family "Bacterial small subunit ribosomal RNA", at positions 28 to 523 of the family's 1533-position model. The record is from RNAcentral.